This 294-nucleotide ribosomal RNA is filed under the name uncultured bacterium. Its description in RNAcentral is "partial 16S ribosomal RNA". It matches the Rfam family "Bacterial small subunit ribosomal RNA", at positions 28 to 319 of the family's 1533-position model. The record is from RNAcentral.
GACGAACGCUGGCGGCGUGCUUAACACAUGCAAGUCGAGCGGUAAGGCCCUUUCGGGGGUACGACGAGCGGCGAACGGGUGAGUAACACGUGGGUGACCUGCCCUUAGCUCUGGGAGUAAGCCUGGGAAACUAGGGUCUAAUACCGGAUAUGACUCCAUGACGCAUGUUGUGGGGUGGAAAGCCUUGUGCGGCUAGGGAUGGGCCCGCGGCCUAUCAGCUUGUUGGUGGGGUGAUGGCCACCAAGGCGACGACGGGUAGGCCGGCCUGAGAGGGCGACCGGCCGACACUGGGAC